GUUCCCGUGGCACAACUGGAUAGCGCGGCUCCCUCCUAAGGAGCAGGUUACAGGUUCGACCCCUGUCGGGAACGCCA
Molecule: transfer RNA, 77 nt
Filed under: SAR86 cluster bacterium
Lineage: Bacteria; Pseudomonadati; Pseudomonadota; Gammaproteobacteria
Also listed under: 1 other name
Description: tRNA-Arg
Rfam family: tRNA
About the family: Transfer RNA (tRNA) molecules are approximately 80 nucleotides in length.
Source: RNAcentral